Molecule: ribosomal RNA, 462 nt
Filed under: uncultured bacterium
Lineage: Bacteria
Description: partial 16S ribosomal RNA
Rfam family: Bacterial small subunit ribosomal RNA
Source: RNAcentral
CCCAGACUCCUACGGGAGGCAGCAGUGGGGAAUAUUGCACAAUGGGGGGAACCCUGAUGCAGCGACGCCGCGUGGGUGAAGGAGCACCUCGGUGCGUAAAGCCCUAUCGGCAGGGAAGAAAAGCGAACAGGUUCGCCUGGACGGUACCUGACUAAGAAGCCCCGGCUAACUACGUGCCAGCAGCCGCGGUAAUACGUAGGGGGCAAGCGUUAUCCGGAUUUACUGGGUGUAAAGGGAGCGUAGACGGCGGUGCAAGCCAGAUGUGAAAGCCCGGGGCUCAACCCCGGGACUGCAUUUGGAACUGUGCUGCUAGAGUGUCGGAGAGGCAGGCGGAAUUCCUAGUGUAGCGGUGAAAUGCGUAGAUAUUAGGAAGAACACCAGUGGCGAAGGCGGCUUUCUGGACUGAAACUGACGCUGAGGCACGAAAGCGUGGGGAGCGAACAGGAUUAGAUACCCUCGUAC